CCACUCCGUCUCCUCCCGGUCCCGGCCUCCCCCCUUCCUUUCCCCUCAUGCUGAAUUCCCAUUCCCGGCCCGAUCCCCGCUCCCCGUUCCUCCACCACGGCCUCGCCCACGCCGCCGCCGUGACGGAGCACGGGGACCGGGCGCGGGGGAUGGACCCUCCAUCGUCGUCGGGCCGCCCCACCACGCCGCGCCGGCAGCUGCAGGGCCCGCGCCCGCCCAAGCUCAACGUCAGGGCGGAGUCGCACGCCAUCAAGAAGCACUCGGGGUCGGGGGUUCCGGCCCCCGGGCGGGCGCCCGUCAUCAUCUACGACGCGUCGCCCAAGGUCAUCCACGUCAAGCCCAGCGACUUCAUGGCGCUCGUGCAGCACCUCACGGGCCCCGGUGGGUCCGGCACGCCGCCUCCGCCGCCGCAGCAGCACGAGGGCCACAUGGUGGACGACGACGGCGGCGGCGGCGUCCCGCUGGGGCAGGCGUUCCUGCCCCCCGAGCUGCUGCUGUCGCCGUCCGCCGCCAUGUCCCCGGCCGCGCGCCUGGCCACCAUCGAGCGCUCCGUGCGCCCCAUGCCCGCGGCGGCGCCGGCCUACGGCGCCGACGACGGCACCCUGGCGGCGGCUCUCGGCCCCGCGCGCCACCCGGGCAUCCUGUCCCCGGUGCCGUCCUCGCUGCCGCCGGCCGCCGCGUGCGGGCUGUUCUCGCCGCUGCCCUUCGACGACCCCGGCAGCAUCAGCUGGCUCAACGAGCUCAGCCCCAUCCUCCGGGCAGCAGCGUCCGCGGCCAACGCCGGCGCCUCUUCGUCCGGCACCGGCCCGGGCAACGGCCCGCCGCCUCCGCCGCCGCCGGCCUACUACUGCGACCCGUUCGUCCCCAGCCCCCGCAACCUCCUCGCCACGCCCACCGUUCCCUCGCCGGCCACGUGCGCGGAGUUCUUCGGCAGCCUACCGGAUCUUUAGCUCGGCGCCCCUCCGCUUGCGUCCAGGUCCAACCAAGACAGAUAUGCAGCGCCGGCCCAAACUUUUGCGACAUUUUUCCACAAUUUUUCCUCUCUCUAUCUCUCUUCUGGAAGGUAGGGGCAAGUUGGUGUUGGUGGGCCCGCCACUGAUGCUAAUUUGAUUAGUGCAGAAAGGACGUGAGAACAGAAAAAGUUUUCCGGUAGCAGUAGUAGCAGCAGAUGACUACUAGAAGCGGCCGGCCACCACACCCACAUGCCUUUGUUUAUUUCUUCUUUUCCUUUAGAUUUACACCUCUUGUGUAGGCCAAGGAAAUGGUUGUUGUCGGCUUAAUGAUGGAUUUGUUAAUUCUUUACUAACUCAGUGAUGCGCUUAUCAUUAUGUCAUGCUGACCUGGUGCGUUGUAACCGAACUCACUAUGUAAACAGUUGGGGGCAAAAUCUGUUCCGCACCGAUUUUUACAUUUACCUCACUCGUAUUCUUAUUUCCAGACAAUUGUGAAAACGAAAUGAAAACGGGACGACCCGUAUUAAUACGACAUUACACUGUAUUCAACUAUGCUAUAUCCCGUUUUACAUUGUUAGUCAGUCCACUGCCUUGGUCUGCUCAUAAGAUGCAUCCUGAAUUUCUGUAUGCAAAAUUAUAUCUUAUAUUUCUAUAUAUAAAAUUACAGUACGACAUGGACAUAGAGAGGAAGGACCUCGAGCGGGAUGGUUUUUAAAUUAAGUUACUAUGGGCUCCGGAGGGUGUGCGUGGAGGACGCAAAAUUUAUAAUGGUUCGAACAGGACGUCCCUACAUCAUAUCGUCGAUGGCUUGCGCUACCGACACCAUUUAUGAUCAAACUCAUAAUAAGAGUUACAAGCGGCCGAGAGAGGGAGGAGGGACUCUCAGAUCUCUUAUCGGGGUGGAAGUGGAGCUUAGAAGCUGAGAGGUGGAGUCCUAGCUAAGUCUUGGCUUAGCGGGCCUCGGUUCUCCUAGUCCUCAUCGGCGCUUUCCUUUGCUCGAAACCUCCAUUUCCCUUUUAGUUUGAGACUACACACAUAAGCUUGAAAACAUGAUUAG
This 2010-nucleotide unclassified non-coding RNA is filed under the name Zea mays. RNAcentral describes it as "misc RNA Zm00001eb422130". The record is from RNAcentral. Lineage: Eukaryota; Viridiplantae; Streptophyta; Magnoliopsida; Poales; Poaceae.